GAUAUUGACAACACAUAUUAACGUACACUCACUAGAGUGAUCAUCAAAUCCUUUUAACAGUUUAUUUUACAGACUUUGUCUUAAUUUUUUUUACAAAACCUCUAGAAACCACGUCAGUUUUGUUUACUAUUACACUAAAAAAAAGUUAGCAGAAAACGAUGAAAGGUCAGAUUUUACUGUCAUACUGAUUUUUUUCCAGUGGACUGAUGAAAACUGCAUUUUUUUUAUUCCACCUUGACUUCACUGGUGAAAAAAAAUAAUAGAAACCAUCAGAUAAAUUCUAAUGGUUUCCAAUAAAAUAACGGAAUUUUGUGGUGGUUUUAAUGGUAAAAGCUAAUGGUUUUUGAGAACAAAUCCUUUGUGUUUCCCCAUACUUGGAGCUCUGUCAGUGCACACAGAAAUAAGUUUGUCCAGUUCCGUUUUUAUCAGCAACAAAAUCCAUAAAAAUUUUAACUGUGCAUUCAGACCGCCACCGGCGAGAGCGUCAAUAAAAGCUCUGGCUGCCCUGCCAACGACGCUAAAGGAAAGGUGUAGUGGACGCUCUGACGCUCGAAUGCAUUCUCUGAACUCCUCUCAGGCGGAGGUUUCCGCCAUUCGAUUGGUUGCCGCCGAACAUUUCCGCCUUCCGAUUGGUUGCCGCCGAACCACGUCAUAUCUCAUUACCAUAAAGUUGAGCUGAUUUUAACUCUCCUCGACGCUCACGCUGUGUACAUGACGCGCCGCGCCGCUGCUCACCGGAGCUCGCCGCCGGCUCUCAUUGAAAGUGAAUGACUUCCGGCCACUUUGACGCUCUCGCCGGUGGCGGUCUGAAUGCACAGUAAUACAUCCUGUCCUUUAGUUGCAUUGUUUAGGCAGAUUGAACAGAUAUUCUUCAUGUCUUACGUCACCAGGUCUGGUGUUACCCAUAUAAACUCCAGCAGUGUAGAUUUAAAACUGGUGAUUUUGUUGUGUGCCACGCUCAAAAUUGCUUAAAUCACCUUUCUUUCCCAUUCUAACAUUCAGUUUGGAGUUCAGGAGAUUGUCUUGACCAGGACCACACCCCUAAAUGCAUUGAAGCAACUGCCAUGUGAUUGGUUGAUAAGAUAAUUGCAUUAAUGAUCAAUUGAACAGGUGUUCCAAAUAAUCCUUUAGAAAUGAAUGACAUACAGAAAUCAUCUCCAUCUCUUCUGUGGAAAGCAGGUCAACUACAUCUUCUGACCGUGCCUCCAUGCCCAUGGUCAAACAUAUCGAUUGAUUUCGUCACUGAUUUACCUCUUUCUCAGAGCAAUACGACUAUUCUGACGGUGGUGGAUUGUUUGAAGGCCUGCCGCUUUAUCCCUCUGCCAAAACUCCCUUCAGCACUACAAAUAGCGGAAUAGCUCCUCCAUCAUGUGUUUCACUACUAUGAAUUACCUUAGGAUAUAGUUUCGCAUCUUGGCCCUCAAUUCACCUCACGGGUAUGGUCCGACGACUUCAGUAUCCCUAAUGUCAAUGUAAGACUCAACUCAGUAUAUCACCCUCAGUUCAAUGGCCAAACAAAACCUCUCAACCAAGAACUCACCAAGUUUCUCAGGUUGUACUGCCAACAGCAGCUGAAUGGGCCAGUUUCAUCCCAAUGGUCAGAUAGACCAUUCUGGCACAAUUUCUUCAAGAAGCCACAAAAAUGAUGUGAAGAGAUAAAACCUCCAACAGAUGCCAAUGCAUGUGCACACCAAAAACUUGCUGCAGCACAUGAAGAAAAACUUUUCUGGGAUAUUCAAAUCAGGUUCCCCAUAUAACAGUUUUACAAAAAGUGUCAAGCAAAAAAAAAAAAAAACUAGAAAAUCGAAUGGAAAUUCAUUCACUUCCAGACUAUCUGAAAAUACAAGAAACUUUGGACCUUCUCCAACAAUUUGCACAACUAAAGCACCAGUACCUGCAGUUUGUGGCAUGCUUCUUCAUUUAUAGCCCACAUGUACACUGUUAACCAGCUAUUAAAAGACUUCCAUAAGAAGAUGAAACUCUUUUUCGAUGCGACAUGAACCGUUGUAGCAAAACAACACAGAUGUAAAAGUGUAAUGUAUUAUGGGCUUUGCUGUCCUGUUCAGUCCACCACAUCAGCAACAACAGUUGCUGUAAAAGAGAUGCUGUCUACAGACCAAAGCACAACAACAAUUCAACACUAGUUGACCUGCCUUUCCAGGGAACAAACUCUUUAACCACAAAAAGUUGAAUCAGAUUUUAGCUGGCCAAUCAUUCAUGCAAGCAAACAAACCUUCUGUCAGUCAAAUAUUCAUUUGUACCUGCAGCAAUAUGUCCAAGUAUGCAUGGAAGGAAAUCCAUGUACAUUCACUGUUGUGCAUAUAUGUGCUGUGCAUAUGGUGAAAAUGCUAUGCACAUAAAUUGCAACGGUAAAGUGUUUAAAGGACCUUGUUAAUGCAUGCAUUUGUGCUACUGCAGAAUGCCACCACACUGGCUGCAAUCCAAUUUUGCUGAGUGACAUCUGUACAGUUUUUGGGGUGUUUGGGGGAUUUGUCCAUACUUGACAGUCUCAAGACAGGGCAGACUAAAAUUUAGGACUUCCCUGAGUAUGUUGACGUAGAUGCUGAAUUUGGAGAAACAUCACUUGAUGAAUUGCUUACAGAAUCCACACCAAAGACCAUCAUACACAACCUACAAUUUGCAAAACUUUGAAAAAACAUUAAAACGAGACACAGAACAAACAAGACAGUGGUACAGUGUGUGCUCAAGUUAACCAAUACUGCUGCCAAAGGCUAAUUGACAUACUAAACCCAUACUUGGCCACAAUGAGGACAGGCAUUAUGCUGCUAAUACAUCUGGGAAAACACAGAGACACGUGUUUGAUCAGCAGUUCAUCUAAGGUAGAAUGUGUGGUGUCACGUUUCUGCAAUUCGAUCAAACACAACUACUGUACAAAAAAGAAAGGAGACAAGAGCAAAAUGGAUCUGCACCUUAGUCAGAAGAAGAAAUGGCAGAAACAGAAAAAGGGAAAAAAGGCAAAAUACUACAACCCACCUAAAAAUAUGAAAAGCAUGAAAAGUGUUUAUAGUUCUCAAUAGUGUGGAAAAGCACAAUUGGCAAAUAAAACAAUGAAGAACAAACCUUUGCUAUUCAGUGAAAUUGAGAGCAAGCAUAAUGCAGACAAAUGUUUCAAGGUGCAAUGAUUUCUUACACCCUGUAGGACAAACUGGACAUUCCCAGGUCACUCUUUUGUCUGCAGAGGAGAGGUGAAUCUCAUAAGCAGACUGUAGAAGUUGAUCUGGAUAAACAAGGAAAGUGGGAUUCACUUUAGCACCAUCUCAAACUUAAAAAGACACGAAAGGGAGCAGCAUGCUGGACAAGAACCCAUGUUGUGUAUUGACCCAA
Molecule: long non-coding RNA, 3345 nt
Organism: Misgurnus anguillicaudatus (oriental weatherfish)
Lineage: Eukaryota; Metazoa; Chordata; Actinopteri; Cypriniformes; Cobitidae
Source: RefSeq, a predicted model, not a curated record